AGCAGUGUUUAUUUAACAGAUAUGCGUUUACAGAAUGAGAAUUAAAAUUUAUCUCAAACAAAUAUUUUGGACAUUAUCAAAAUUAGUAAAAGAAGCAGUAAUCUGAGAUAGAUUGACAUAGUAUCUGUCUAAGAUAAUGUAUUCAACACCUUCUUUGUCCCAAAACAAUUUGCCAAUCGACGUCUUCCCAUCAUGGAACCAUUCCUUGCAAAACUGUCUCUCUCAAAUAAUCACCUCAAGGAAUUGUAUUGUGCACAGAGUCAGAUUGUUUGCCUAGGGUACUAGACAAGAGUUCAGGUUAGGCCUAUUCGUAGAGCCUUGGACUCUGUUCUGUAAAAUGAGGUUUGUGGGAGUGAUAUGUGUGUGAGAGGCAAUGACUAGAUUUUCAACAAUGACUAGAUUUUUGCCUUCUGCGCUAAGGUAAGCAGGAAUGAAACAUAACCAGACACUUAGGAAUGCAAACAUGAUAAAGGUAAUGUAUUGUCCCUCAUUGAGUGUCUAGUACCUGAGUGUUGUGGGUUUGGAGGAGGCUGAGAGCUGAAUGUGGAGAAGAGUCUGUAACGAGAAUAUACCCCAACACGCAGGAUUCAGCUAAACAGAAGACAACACAGAGGAGAGAUACGUCUACCGGACCUUAGAAUGGCCGGACUCGACGUAUAUGAGAGGAGGCAGAGUCAGGAACGAUCGGAAGUCAAGGACACAGAGAGACAGUGGAAACUAGGACUAGCCGGGGUCUGGUACACAGUAAACAGGAAGCCGACAACCAGAACAGUUAAGGAUAAAGAGAAAAUGUAGUCAGAAACAAAGCCAAAGUCAAUACGGAGAAAACACAACUGAACACAACAAGCGCUAAAGGGAACUGAAACAGAAACCACGAUAGGGCAGGGAGUAAAGGGAGAGGUAAGUUUAAAUAGCUUCUAAACUAAUGUGAUUGGCUCCUGUCAUAUCCACACCCCCAAAAGGUAAGUGUAUGGGGAGUGUGGCAUGCCAGGGGCCAAUGGGAGCCUUUUAACAAUUUAGGCUCCCACUGUCUCUUUAAGAGCGCGCCCGAGACUCGCGGCGCGCUCUUAGAUUCAGGCGGGACACGUGACCGCUUCCUGCGGUCACUGCCCGCCUUCCUAGUGAAGCCGUCGGAUGAGCCACGCGCGGCUCGUGCAGCAGCAGGACCGCGCGCGGCUCGAAGAGAGGACCGCGGCCGGCCCCUGGAUAAGGUAAGUAACGCUACAGAGCCUUAGUGUGUCUGUAUGUGCUGGUGAGUGUUGUGUGAGUGGUGGCUGAAAAAGAAGGCAAAUCAAGAAACAGAGAAGAGAGAAUAAGGAGAAAAAAAGGAAAUCUUUUAAUGUGUUGGAUAGACCGAUAAAUGAAAUUGAAAUGUUCCUACAUGAAAAGGGACGUACAUUUGAUUUCUUUAUAGACUUACAUAAAUUUAACAGAAAAUUACAUCUAAGAGAUAUUUUCAGGAACAUAAUUAUACCAACAAACAGGAUGUAGGUGACUAUAAGCAUACAGACCUUCACCCAAAAUCUGUCUUCUGUCCACACAAUACGUAGGGGUCUAUAUUAACGUCUUUGAGACAGUAGUAAAAGAGUUUAGAUCAUUAAAAAUAGAUCAAAGAUAGGCACAAUUUUUCCCCAUAUCACACACUCGGAUCAGGUGGGAUUUGUGGCUGAGAGGAAAGGAUCGGAAAACACACAUAAAGUACUCGAUGUGCUUCACGUGGGAGAGGCAUUGGUCAUAUCCCUUCACGCCGAAAAGGUCUUUGACCGUCUCCAUUGGACAUUUUUGGAGGCUGUCAUGGGCAAGUUUGUAGUCCCAGAGGAGUUCCUGGUGGUGGUAAGGGCACUGUACAGUAUGGCGACAAAUCAUACUUUGAUCACAUACAGAGAAUGUUGGUAUAAUUUAUAUGGACAAAACGGAAAAUAAAAGGUAUGCAUCCAGUGUGGCAGAACCGAGGCCUAAAAGUUGGGGGACGGCCAUCAGGUGGCCUUCACACGUAAGGCCACCUGAUGGGCAUCUCUGACCAGGUGCCUGGAUGGAUGCCACAACUCAUGUAACCGGGUCAUGUCAGAUUGGCAGUUUGGCCACUGCUGGGAGGACCAGCGCAUACAGGGAGCUGUAACCCAUAUUGGUUACCUGAAUGUGAAGUUUUCUUUCCUUUUAAAAAAAAAAUCAAAUACCUUUGACAGUUUUUUUGAAGCAGUCUUAAUAUCCAUUGUUUGUCUAUUGCAGAAGUGACCUUGCAUGGUGGAGUAUGCAGUAAGUAUAGCCAGUGAAAAACAUCAAUACAUAUAUGAAUAACAUUUUGCAAAUAAUAUUUUUGUAUUCUUAGAAAACUUAAACCUAAAAUGUUUUCUAAUUUUAUCUAAAUCAAACAGAAAUGGAUUGGACAAUCAAUAUAUAGAAAUAUUUGUUUCCAUUUUUUAUUGAAUAAUUCAAAAAUGGAAACCUGUCUCUCUUUUUUCCAGAUCAUGCCAUAGAUUUUGAAUUACUUUAGUUAAUAGUCAUGCUACAUUUGCAAACACAAACUGUCGGCCUAUUUCGGAGUGUUACAUAAUACAGAGAAAUCACAGUAGAUCUGAAAGAAUUUUUAGUCUUUAUUCACAAAACAAUAAACUGUGAUGUACUGAACAAGGAAUAUGGAACAUUUAGAUCAACAUAGCCAAUGUGUAGGUAGCAAGUAGGUGAGCUGGAGAAUUUAUAAUAAUCACCAACUUUGGUCAAUAUUCAGUAUGAUUAGUAAAUAAACAUACAGUUUCCAAAGUCUUAGGCGAGUUAGUUGCAGUGAUCCGUUGUACAACACCGUGUUGCGGGUUCACUCAUCUGCAUUAUUCUACAGUUAGCUUCUGUUGCACAUCCUCGAGUAAAAAUGACU
Pelobates cultripes (western spadefoot toad) is the source of this 2872-nucleotide non-coding RNA. The record is from the annotation of a GenBank genome assembly. Lineage: Eukaryota; Metazoa; Chordata; Amphibia; Anura; Pelobatidae.